Pelobates cultripes (western spadefoot toad) is the source of this 142-nucleotide non-coding RNA. NCBI's taxonomy places the organism in Eukaryota, Metazoa, Chordata, Amphibia, Anura, Pelobatidae. The record is from the annotation of a GenBank genome assembly.
CUGCGCUCUCUCCUUAAUCCCUAUGUAUAUUUAAACAAAUGGAGGUUAUUUAGUUACUCCAAUGGCCACUGGAGGGAAUGCCCGCCUGCCCCGUCAAGGGCAAUGUUUAAAUAUACGCAGGGAUUUAGGAGAGAGCACAGGU